RNAcentral lists this ribosomal RNA (390 nucleotides) under uncultured Sphingobacteriales bacterium. RNAcentral's name for it is "bacterial SSU rRNA". It matches the Rfam family "Bacterial small subunit ribosomal RNA", at positions 991 to 1382 of the family's 1533-position model. The record is from RNAcentral. Lineage: Bacteria; Pseudomonadati; Bacteroidota; Sphingobacteriia; Sphingobacteriales.
AUGACUGUAGGUGAAGACUUACAUCUCUUCGGAGCAUUUUACGUAGGUGCUGCAUGGUUGUCGUCAGCUCGUGCCGUGAGGUGUCGGGUUAAGUCCCAUAACGAGCGCAACCCCUACCUUUAGUUGCCAUCAGGUUAAGCUGGGGACUCUAAAGGAACUGCCUACGCAAGUAGUGAGGAAGGUGGGGAUGACGUCAAAUCAGCACGGCCCUUACGUCCAGGGCUACACACGUGCUACAAUGGCCGGUACAAAGGGCAGCUACCUGGUGACAGGAUGCUAAUCUCAAAAGCCGGUCUCAGUUCGGAUCGGAGUCUGCAACCCGACUCCGUGAAGCUGGAAUCGCUAGUAAUCGUGGAUCAGCAUGCCACGGUGAAUACGUUCCCGGGCCUU